AAGAUUUUAAGUUAAUUAAACUGUGAGCCUUCAAAGCUCGAAAUGGAGAUGGUCCAAAUCUUA
RNAcentral lists this transfer RNA (63 nucleotides) under Limnadia lenticularis. RNAcentral describes it as "tRNA-Trp". The record is from RNAcentral. Lineage: Eukaryota; Metazoa; Arthropoda; Branchiopoda; Diplostraca; Limnadiidae.